UUAGGAUAAGAAAAUUUAAAUAAUUAAUUAAUUAAUUGGACUAGUGUACAUAAAAAGUAGCCGAUAAUAGUUUUUAACUAUCGUUUUUCUAUUUACAGAGAUUCGACCACCAUCAUUUUAUAUCACAUUUUAUCGUAACAUUAAUCUUUAUGGUUACGAUAGAUGCUGACAUCAUAGAUCUCAUGGUAUGUUUCUAAAAAGGACAUUUUAUUCUUGUGGAAGAAUAUCAAAGUAAACUCAAGACCUAUGUUAUACCAUUACCAUGAAACAUUUUUCCAACAUCGUACAUAUUCCCUCGAGAGAAAGAAAAAAAGAACGCAGGUAUAUUGCUUGAACUCUUAACGCUUUUCUUUCAAGGUAAGAAAGAAGACAACAAAAUGAAAAAAUGCAACGAAGAGAGAAAGGAGGAAGUAUCUCAAAAAAAAGGUAAAGGUAAAAAAAAAAAGAAGAAGAAGUGUAAAUUAUGUUUUUUUUAUGUUCCUUCUCAUUAAAAAUGACUUCAUAUAAGGUACACGAUUUAUCGGGUCACAACAUGGAAGUAUCGUUUAAAUUGAAAUGAACAGUUCUCCUUUAAAAAAAAAAAAAACGUAGGUGUCCAAACGAACCAAAAAAAAAAAAAAAUUGAAAGAAAAAAAAAGAAAAAGAAAAUGAAAUUCAUUAAUUAAUCCUCGACUUUGUGGUACAACUGAACGAUAUUUUAUAUUACAUGAUAAAUGGAGAACACGAAAGUUAUUAAAAAUAUUAACUUUACCGAGUGUACUAUUUUGUGUAGGAGUUUUGAUCAAAAUCCAUUGAAUGUUGCAAAUUCGAAUAGAUAACAUUUAUUCAAUCUCUAUCGUCAACAUAUACGUAAACAUUUUCAUGAUAGUUUAAAGUAUCGUUUUAAAUUAUUACCAUGCAUUUUAAUUCA
Molecule: long non-coding RNA, 910 nt
Organism: Polistes dominula (European paper wasp)
Lineage: Eukaryota; Metazoa; Arthropoda; Insecta; Hymenoptera; Vespidae
Source: RefSeq, a predicted model, not a curated record